CGUCCUAUUAGCUAGUUGGUGAGGUAAUGGCUCACCAAGGCUACGAUGGGUAGGGGUUCUUAGUGGAAGGUCCCCCACACUGGCACUGAGAUACGGGCCAGGCUCCUACGGGAGGCAGCAGUAGGGAAUAUUGGUCAAUGGGCGCAAGCCUGAACCAGCCAUGCCGCGUGCAGGAUGAAGGCUCUCUGAGUUGUAAACUGCUUUUGUACAGGAGCAAAAAAAUCCCUGCGGGGGUUCUUGAGAGUACUGUAAGAAUAAGCACCGGCUAAUUCCGUGCCAGCAGCCGCGGUAAUACGGGAGGUGCAAGCGUUAUCCGGUUUUAUUGGGUUUAAAGGGUGCGUAGGCGGCUUAUUAAGUCAGUUGUGAAAUCCUAGUGCUUAACGCUAGAACUGCGAUUGAUACUAUU
RNAcentral lists this ribosomal RNA (406 nucleotides) under Cardinium endosymbiont of Bemisia tabaci. RNAcentral's name for it is "bacterial SSU rRNA". It matches the Rfam family "Bacterial small subunit ribosomal RNA", at positions 234 to 637 of the family's 1533-position model. RNAcentral also lists the same sequence under 1 other name. Lineage: Bacteria; Pseudomonadati; Bacteroidota; Cytophagia; Cytophagales; Amoebophilaceae. The record is from RNAcentral.